CGGCGACUAAUCUGAGUGCCUAGUGGGCCAUUUUUGGUAAGCAGAACUGGCGCUGUGGGAUGAACCAAACGUCGAGUUAAGGGGCCCCAUUGAAUGCUCAUUCAGAUCCCAUCGAAAGGCGUUGGUUGCUAUAGACAGCAGGACGGUGGCCAUGGAAGUCGGAAUCCGCUAAGGAGUGUGUAACAACUCACCUGCCGAAGCAACUAGCCCUUAAAAUGGUAUGGCGCUGAAGCAUUCUCCCGAUACUCGACCGCCGGGGCGGUAGCGACCACGUCCCAGAGACGUGGUCACGAAUCCCCCCGGUGAGUAAGAGGGUCGCAGUGGUGAGCGCUGAAGGGAUCCGGCGUGAGCCGGCCUGGAGCCACCACUGGCGCAGAUCUUGGUGGUAGUAGCAAAUACUCGAGAGAGACUCCCUUGAAGACCGAUGUGGAGAAGGGUUCCAUGUGAACAUCAGUUGGACAUGGGUUAGUCGCUCCUAAGCCCAAGGCUAAGGCCUGAUCCCAUGCUAGCGGC
Molecule: ribosomal RNA, 513 nt
Filed under: Euastacus neohirsutus
Lineage: Eukaryota; Metazoa; Arthropoda; Malacostraca; Decapoda; Parastacidae
Description: eukaryotic LSU rRNA
Rfam family: Eukaryotic large subunit ribosomal RNA
Source: RNAcentral